UCCAAUAGCAUCGUAUGCAAGAAGGCAGCUUUUUCAGUGAUGGACCACCCCACUAGAGAGGGUUUAAAAUAAUAUAUACAUCCUAAUUAUCUAAUUAAGUCACAGCAAAGGCUGAGCUGGUGUAGGGUGAAUUUUUAAAUGCAAGACUUUCUUAUACAGCAAGAUAAAACAGAUUGUACUUAGAAGAUGCCACCAAAGAAAUUAACCAUUUUUGAAUGAGAAAUUGUGCACGCUAAAACAAAUGGCAGUUAAAAGCAAAAGUGAAGCAUUGGAUGAAAUUGUCUCCAGAUUAGAGAACAAGGGACAUUCCAAAUAUUCCAAUAGAUCUAAGAACCCAGACAUCACAUGCCUUUCAGAAAGAAAGAACACAGUUUUCUCAAGGUUUAAGGAAAGAUGCGAUAAA
Physella acuta is the source of this 403-nucleotide long non-coding RNA. RefSeq lists it as uncharacterized. Lineage: Eukaryota; Metazoa; Mollusca; Gastropoda; Physidae. The record is from RefSeq and is a predicted model, not a curated record.